GCUAAACGCGAAGAACCUUACCAAGGCUUGACAUGGAUUUCUAAGCACGUGAAAGCGUGUGACCCUUCGGGGGACUUCCACAGGUGCUGCAUGGCCGUCGUCAGCUCGUGUCGUGAGAUGUUGGGUUAAGUCCCGCAACGAGCGCAACCCUUGUGAACAGUUGCCAGCGCGUCAUGGCGGGAACUCUGUUCAGACUGCCCAGAUCAACUGGGAGGAAGGUGGGGACGACGUCAGGUCAGUAUGGCCCUUACGCCUUGGGCUGCACACGUACUACAAUGCCCAGCACAAUGAGAACCGAUGCCGCGAGGUGGAGGAAAUCUGCAAAACUGGGCUCAGUUCGGAUUGGAGGCUGCAACUCGCCUCCAUGAAGUUGGAAUCGCUAGUAAUGGGGCAUCAUCUACGGCCCCCGUGAAUACGUUCCCGGGUCUUGUACACACCG
This 439-nucleotide ribosomal RNA is filed under the name uncultured bacterium. RNAcentral's name for it is "bacterial SSU rRNA". It matches the Rfam family "Bacterial small subunit ribosomal RNA", at positions 954 to 1392 of the family's 1533-position model. The record is from RNAcentral.